AAAAAAAAAAUUAUAUAAUUAUUGAACUAAAGCUGUGCUGGUGGUUGCCUUCACCAUCUCUGUUUUUUUGUUUAUUUUAAGGGGACAACAAUUUAUGAUAAUUAUUUUCUCCCUCAAGUAUUACCUCAACAAACUAUUAGAAUUAUUUUUAAAAAAAAGAAAAUUAAUUAAUUGAAAAUUAAUACGUUUUAAUAAUUUAAAUUUUCAAAACACGUUUAAUAACCCACAAUAAAAAUGAUUAGAUAGACUCUUUUCCAUAAAAAAAAUAAA
This 270-nucleotide long non-coding RNA is filed under the name Gossypium raimondii (Peruvian cotton). RNAcentral describes it as "long non-coding RNA (GRAI_LNC004327)". Lineage: Eukaryota; Viridiplantae; Streptophyta; Magnoliopsida; Malvales; Malvaceae. The record is from RNAcentral.